AACGCUAGCUACAGGCUUAACACAUGCAAGUCGAGGGGCAGCAUGAACAUAGCUUGCUAUGUUUGAUGGCGACCGGCGCACGGGUGCGUAACACGUAUCCAAUCUGCCCGUCACUCGGGGAUAGCCUUCUGAAAGGAAGAUUAAUACCCGAUGGGAUGCAUUUCCGGCAUCGGAGAUGCAUUAAAGAUUCAUCGGUGACGGAUGAGGAUGCGUACGAUUAGCUGGUUGGCGGGGUAACGGCCCACCAAGGCUACGAUCGUUAGGGGUUCUGAGAGGAAGGUCCCCCACACUGGAACUGAGACACGGUCCAGACUCCUACGGGAGGCAGCAGUGAGGAAUAUUGGUCAAUGGGCGGGAGCCUGAACCAGCCAAGUAGCGUGAAGGAUGACUGCCCUACGGGUUGUAAACUUCUUUUGUUUGGGAAUAAAAGACGCUACGUGUAGCGUUCUGCAUGUACCUUACGAAUAAGCAUCGGCUAAUUCCGUGCCAGCAGCCGCGGUAAUACGGAAGAUGCGAGCGUUAUCCGGAUUUAUUGGGUUUAAAGGGAGCGUAGGCGGGCUGUUAAGUCAGCGGUAAAAUGUCAAGGCCCAACCUUGUCCUGCCGUUGAAACUGGCGGUCUUGAAUGCACACAAGGGAGAUGGAAUUCGUCGUGUAGCGGUGAAAUGCUUAGAUAUGACGAAGAACUCCGAUUGCGAAGGCAGUCUCCUGGGGUGCUAUUGACGCUGAGGCUCGAAAGUGCGGGUAUCAAACAGGAUUAGAUACCCUGGUAGUCCGCACAGUAAACGAUGAAUGCUGGUUCUUGGCGAUAUAUUGUCAGGAACUGAGGGAAACCAUUAAGCAUUCCACCUGGGGAGUACGCCGGCAACGGUGAAACUCAAAGGAAUUGACGGGGGCCCGCACAAGCGGAGGAACAUGUGGUUUAAUUCGAUGAUACGCGAGGAACCUUACCCGGGCUUAAAUUGCACUGGACAGGCUCAGAGAUGGGCUCUUCUUCGGACCAGUGUGAAGGUGCUGCAUGGUUGUCGUCAGCUCGUGCCGUGAGGUGUCGGCUUAAGUGC
This 1059-nucleotide ribosomal RNA is filed under the name uncultured Bacteroidales bacterium. Its description in RNAcentral is "bacterial SSU rRNA". It matches the Rfam family "Bacterial small subunit ribosomal RNA", at positions 32 to 1087 of the family's 1533-position model. Lineage: Bacteria; Pseudomonadati; Bacteroidota; Bacteroidia; Bacteroidales. The record is from RNAcentral.